RNAcentral lists this long non-coding RNA (2063 nucleotides) under Homo sapiens (human). Its description in RNAcentral is "novel transcript". The record is from RNAcentral. Lineage: Eukaryota; Metazoa; Chordata; Mammalia; Primates; Hominidae.
AGAUGUGCUUCCCACUAGGCAUUGCCUGCAGUGGACAUCCAAAAUCAGACCACAGUGACUGAGUUUACCCUGACGGCCUUUCCUGUUCUUCAGCAGCUUCAAAUUUCCCUUUUUGCAGUCCUCUUGUUUACUUAUAUGCUUACUCUAACAGGAAACGUUGCCAUCAUUUCCCUAACAUGUGCGAAUCAUCGCCUCCAAACCCCAAUGUACUUCUUCCUCAGUAAUUUGUCAAUUUUGGACAUUUUUUUCACCACCUCAGUUAUCCCAAAGCUAUUAGCCUGUCUCCUGCAGGACAAGAAGACCAUAUCUUUUGCUGGGUGCAUCACCCAAACUUAUUUCCUUUGUUUUCUUGGGGACAGUGGAGUUUAUCCUCUUGGCAGUGAUGUCCUUUGACUGCUACGUGGCCAUCUGUGACCCCCUGCACUACACCAUUAUCAUGAACAGCAGGGCCUGCCUCCUACUAGUUCUGGGCUGCUGGGUUGGAGCCUUCCUGUCUGUGUUGUGCCCAACCAUUGUGGUGUCCAGAUUGCCUUUCUGUUACAAGGAAAUUAGUCACUUCUUCUGUGACAUCACCCCUCUGCUACAUGUGUCCUGUAUAGACACUCAUUUCAUCGAGAUGAUAAACUUCCUCUUAUCUUCCCUCAUCCUCCUGACCUCACUGGUGCUCACCACUGUGUCCUACAUCUACAUCAUUUCUACCAUCCUGCACAUCCCCUCAGCCCAAGGACGUCGGAAGGCCUUUUCCACGUGCGCUUCCCACAUCACCGUCAUUUCCAUCGCUUAUAUAAGCAACAUCUUCAGAUGAGAAAACUGAUGUUUACAGAGGUUAAGCAUCUUGCCCCAAACUACAUCAUUGGUAAGUGGCAGAAAUUUAGAAUAUGUGAACUUCAGACUCCUUUAGCACUCCACUAUAUUAUAAAGUGUGGAAGGAAAACUUAAGAGGGGAAACCAAAUUAGCCUGGAAGCUACCUUCUUUUUCUGAAGCCAGAAGCCAACAGUUAGACAGACCUGCAGAUCAAGGCAGACCAGAAGUGGGAUACAAUUAGAAUGGACUGAGAGGCAAUUUGGUUUGAAAGGAAAACUAUUUAUUCAGAAGCCAUAACUGACCAUGAGUCUAGACUGAUCAUCUAUAGCAACUGGCGAAUAUGGCCAUCAUAUACAGAAGAUGAUCUUAGCAUUCAUUUGGUUGAGGAAAAAAAAAGUAUCAGAAAACUAAUCAAGCUUGCUUAAGUAAACUAUGUACUUAUCAUAAUAAUCAAAAGUGCCAUAUGGAACCCCAGAAAAUAAGAAACAUCAAAACCUGCUAAGUGACAAAAAGAAGGAACUAGAAAUUUGUAAGGAGCCAAGGUAGGUAUUCUCUUCUCUUUAAGUCUCUGAUUUCUCCUUAGGUCUCUCUGUAGCUGUAUUUCUCUGUAUUAUUUUUCUCCAUAUACUUUGUGGUAGGCUGAAUAAUGGCCCCUAAAGAUAUCCAGGUUCUGACCUCUGGAAACGGUGAAUGUUAUCUUAUGUGGCAAAGAGAUUUUUGUAGAUGUGAUUAAGUUAAAGUUCUUGAGAUGGGGGAUUAUCCUGGAUUACCCAGAUGCGCCCUACAUGUAAUCCCAAAUGUCAUCGUAAGAGCUAGGCAAAAGGAGAUUUUAUUACAAAAAUGAAGGCCAUGUGACGAUGAAAGCAGAGAGAGAUUUGAUGCUGCUGCUCUGCUGGCUUUGGAGACAGAGGAAAGGGCCACAAACCAAGAAAUAAACCUCCGAAAGCUAGAAAAGGCAACGAAGCUGAUUUUCUCCCACAACCUCCAGCAUGACUCUGCCAACACCUGGGUUUCAGCCCAGUGAAACUGUUUUUGGAUUUCUUGCCCUCAGAACUGUAAAAUAAUACAUUAGUGUUGUUUUAAGCCACCAAGUUUGUGGUAAUUUGUUACAGCAGCCAUAAGAAACUAAUAUACACCUGAUUUGCUUUUCUGUCUCUGCAGUGUUUUUUUCCACUUUUCUGUGCACAUGGAAGAUAGCUGCUUUUGUCAUUCACAAAUAUAUGUAUAUACUCAAUUACAGAUAUAUAUUCAAUAUAUA